Molecule: ribosomal RNA, 251 nt
Filed under: uncultured bacterium
Lineage: Bacteria
Description: partial 16S ribosomal RNA
Rfam family: Bacterial small subunit ribosomal RNA
Source: RNAcentral
ACGUAGGUGGCGAGCGUUGUCCGGAAUUACUGGGCGUAAAGGGCGUGUAGGCGGAUAUUUAAGUCAGAUGUGAAAACCCCGGGCUCAACUUGGGGACUGCAUUUGAUACUGGAUAUCUUGAGGACAGGAGAGGAAAGCGGAAUUCCUAGUGUAGCGGUGAAAUGCGUAGAUAUUAGGAGGAACACCAGUGGCGAAGGCGGCUUUCUGGACUGUAACUGACGCUGAGGCGCGAAAGCGUGGGGAGCGAACGG